Long non-coding RNA from Arvicola amphibius (Eurasian water vole), 1083 nucleotides. RefSeq lists it as uncharacterized. NCBI's taxonomy places the organism in Eukaryota, Metazoa, Chordata, Mammalia, Rodentia, Cricetidae. The transcript is spliced from 3 exons. The record is from RefSeq and is a predicted model, not a curated record.
UCCCCUCUGCCUCUCAAUGGCCUUUGUACUUAGGACCGAGAAUUAGUUCUUCCCUGGUCUUACUCAAAGCAACUUGGGCGCUGAUCGCAAUCCUAAGCACAAAGUACUUUCUUAUUUGUUUUGUACUUGUCUUUCCUGAACGGCUGGAGCAGACAGUGGUGUAUUUCAAUACUGGGUACAGAGGGAGCCACGGGCGAAAUCUGAGUGGUGCUUCAGGCCUCUGCGGUUUGUGUCUGUGGAUUCUUUGUCUUGGAGAGAAGACAGAGACUCCGAGAUCCAAGCAGUAAUCCAAGGUCUCCAAAAAAGAUUAUGAGACACCACGAAGUCUCCACCUGGAUUACGACACUGACCACUGGGCAAGAUGCCCCAGUGCAACACCUGCUGCCAGGACCUGGUCCAGACUGUGGGCAAACAGCAGGACCUUGGAGAAUUGAUUGCACCACUUUUUCCUAGACAAAAUAAGAUACAUCCAAGCAUCAGUUGCUGACUACAGUCUGUUCUGAAUGGUGGCGAGCCCUGGACUUCCUGAAAGCUGAUGUGCACCAGUCUAGCUGAUAUGAACGCUCCCUGUCCCUUCAACAAAGUCUGAUGAGUGCCCCAUUGCCUAAAUGUCCCUCCCACCUUUGGCUAGCCUUUCAACCUACUUGGGCCCAGAUAACAACGCCCCAAUGAUAGCUUGAAGUAGUUGUGGAAAGGAUUAUGCUGUCCCAUGCCCCCUGCCCAAAAUAGGUUAAAAGGCCGAGACAAGGGCAAACUCCCUGGCAUGGGGGACAAGAUAAAGUACCUAUAGUGCCUGUUGAUAUACUAAAAAAAAAUAGGUCCAGAGCUGUCAAUAGAUUUAUUAAUUUAAAUAGUUCUAUAUAUCCUUAAAAUCAGGGGCAAACACCACCCAAGAUUGGGUCCUGUCAUUGGUGCUUGUGAAGGGGGAAAUGAAGGAGUCAGCCAUGAUAAGCUAAAUAUGAGCAGAUCACCCAAAUAAAGUUCAUUACUUCCAACCAUUAUCACCUGCCAGAGUAGGCCUCAGCCAUUGAUAAAUUUAAUAGAGGCCUGAGUCUUAGUAGCUUACCCUGAAGCAAUACCUGG